This 516-nucleotide ribosomal RNA is filed under the name uncultured Lactobacillus sp. Its description in RNAcentral is "bacterial SSU rRNA". It matches the Rfam family "Bacterial small subunit ribosomal RNA", at positions 72 to 592 of the family's 1533-position model. Lineage: Bacteria; Bacillati; Bacillota; Bacilli; Lactobacillales; Lactobacillaceae. The record is from RNAcentral.
UGUGCUUGCACGCGAGUGGCGAACUGGUGAGUAACACGUGGGAAAUCUGCCCAGAAGCAGGGGAUAACACUUGGAAACAGGUGCUAAUACCGUAUAACAACAAAUCCGCAUGGAUUUUGUUGAAAGGUGUUCGUAUCACUUCUGGAUGAUCCCGCGGCGUAUUAGUUAGUUGGUGAGGUAAAGGCCCACCAAGACGAUGAUACGUAGCCGACCUGAGAGGGUAAUCGGCCCCAUUGGGACUGAGACACGGCCCAAACUCCUACGGGAGGCAGCAGUAGGGAAUCUUCCACAAUGGACGAAAGUCUGAUGGAGCAAUGCCGCGUGAGUGAAGAAGGGUUUCGGCUCGUAAAACUCUGUUGUUAAAGAAGAACACCUUUGAGGUAAUUCAAGGGUUGACGGUAUUUAACCAGAAAGCCACGGCUAACUACGUGCCAGCAGCCGCGGUAAUACGUAGGUGGCAAGCGUUGUCCGGAUUUAUUGCGCGUAAAGCGAGCGCAGGCGGUUUUUUAAGUCUGA